Molecule: ribosomal RNA, 597 nt
Filed under: Saccharomyces cerevisiae (brewer's yeast)
Lineage: Eukaryota; Fungi; Ascomycota; Saccharomycetes; Saccharomycetales; Saccharomycetaceae
Description: partial large subunit ribosomal RNA
Rfam family: Eukaryotic large subunit ribosomal RNA
Source: RNAcentral
UAAGCGGAGGAAAAGAAACCAACCGGGAUUGCCUUAGUAACGGCGAGUGAAGCGGCAAAAGCUCAAAUUUGAAAUCUGGUACCUUCGGUGCCCGAGUUGUAAUUUGGAGAGGGCAACUUUGGGGCCGUUCCUUGUCUAUGUUCCUUGGAACAGGACGUCAUAGAGGGUGAGAAUCCCGUGUGGCGAGGAGUGCGGUUCUUUGUAAAGUGCCUUCGAAGAGUCGAGUUGUUUGGGAAUGCAGCUCUAAGUGGGUGGUAAAUUCCAUCUAAAGCUAAAUAUUGGCGAGAGACCGAUAGCGAACAAGUACAGUGAUGGAAAGAUGAAAAGAACUUUGAAAAGAGAGUGAAAAAGUACGUGAAAUUGUUGAAAGGGAAGGGCAUUUGAUCAGACAUGGUGUUUUGUGCCCUCUGCUCCUUGUGGGUAGGGGAAUCUCGCAUUUCACUGGGCCAGCAUCAGUUUUGGUGGCAGGAUAAAUCCAUAGGAAUGUAGCUUGCCUCGGUAAGUAUUAUAGCCUGUGGGAAUACUGCCAGCUGGGACUGAGGACUGCGACGUAAGUCAAGGAUGCUGGCAUAAUGGUUAUAUGCCGCCCGUCUUGAA